RNAcentral lists this ribosomal RNA (301 nucleotides) under uncultured bacterium. RNAcentral describes it as "partial 16S ribosomal RNA". It matches the Rfam family "Bacterial small subunit ribosomal RNA", at positions 509 to 809 of the family's 1533-position model. The record is from RNAcentral.
CAGCCGCCACGGUAAUACGAAGGGGGCUAGCGUUGUUCGGAUUUACUGGGCGUAAAGCGCACGUAGGCGGAUCGAUCAGUCAGGGGUGAAAUCCCAGAGCUCAACUCUGGAACUGCCUUUGAUACUGUCGAUCUGGAGUAUGGAAGAGGUGAGUGGAAUUCCGAGUGUAGAGGUGAAAUUCGUAGAUAUUCGGAGGAACACCAGUGGCGAAGGCGGCUCACUGGUCCAUUACUGACGCUGAGGUGCGAAAGCGUGGGGAGCAAACAGGAUUAGAUACCCCCGUAGUCCCUGUCUCUUAUAU